UGGCUUAAGUGGUGUGAGGGAUAGGUUUGGCAUUUUUGGCACCGUUACUAGCUUUAGAGAACUUAGUCUACUUUUGGUAAUGAUGUUAAGAAUACCCAACACAAGUAACAAUACUCAGGACAUAAGGCAUACCAAUAUACUGAGGUUGUGAUAUCCAACUUCACCAUCCUGAAAAGAGCACACAUGAAGGGAGCAAAGGGAACCAGGUUGAGGUGGACCAAUGGGGGAUUUUGGGGACGAUGUGGCCCGGUUGGUUGGAUGGGGUGAACCUUUGGUUUGUAGGAGUAAAUUUGAAAUACAUAUAAGAGAAGUGUAAAGGGCCAAAGCACAAAAAUAGUGUCCUGUUUAUUUUAAGUGUCUUUAAUUCUAUGAUUUUGCCUACAUGAAUGCAACAGAUGAGGCAUGAGAGCAACCUCAAAAGCAUUGGAAGGUCAAUAUAUAUGGUCAAGGUGGAAAAUAAUUUCAUUUUUUAGGAGAAAAGAACAUAAAUGGAGAAGUCGGUGUUAUUUUUGUCAGCAAAAUGAAUAGGUAAGAAGUAAUUAAUCCUCAGAUUUGUUUAUGCAAAUGGUACUUUAUGAGCAUCACAUGUAGCAAACUGCAGCAAUCAGAACCAAUACUGGGACACAUCAGGUGAGCUCACUGAGACAACAACAAGCAACUUUGUUCAGAAUAGAUGGAAAACUGCAUUUUUUGAUAUAGUGUGAUGUGAUAGUGUGAUCAAAACUACGCUUUUUAAAAUUAAAGAAGCAUUAUGCAGCACUCAUAUGGAGCACCAAACAAGAACUCAACAACUCGGUGUUAUAAGAGAACAUUCUACACUUAACCAUGCACCUAAUCCCGGAAGGCCAGAAUACAAAUACUGUUGCAAGGAGUUUUAAAAUACCAACUACUAUUACUUUAAAGUGGCAGUACAGUAAUUGUAUUUGCAACUUGAGAUGCAAGUACUAACACCUGUAGCAGAAAACUAAAGUGAAACUUAUUAGAAAUUACCACCUAUAAUUCAGUGGACAAGGGUACCUGACCUAUUGAAACUUUGGGGGUUCAGUUGAGCUUCUCAGGUAAUCUUGUCAGUGUCAUUUUAAGUUGUGCUUGACCUGCACCAAGCAGCAAAAGUGCUUUGAGUAGAAAAAAGGCAAAAACUUUAGUAAGUUGACCAGCCAGCUCCAUGUUUGUUUCACUGCAGCUCUUUCUUUUUCCAUGCACCAAAGGACUAAAUGCUCUAAAUAUAUGUUUCAUGGAAACAUUGCAAGGCAGCGUAUAGAUGUGUAGCUAUCACUAAUCAUCAGUUAUCCAUGAAGGCUAGAAUACAUCUGACUAUAUGACAUAAGUAUUUGAGGGGCAGGGGUAUUCACUAAGAUAAUUCUGUAGUACUGAUAUGAAGUAAUUAAGUAUGGAAAAAAAUUAAGUGUAGUACCCGAUUUUAAGGACAAAACCAGAUAUGCACCAUAUGUGAGUCUUAGAAGUCAAUUCUCACAUAAAAUAAGGGGUAAUAUCAAUAGACAUUGAUCACACGGUUUUCCUUGAUCUUUUAGGUCGGUGGUGCACGAUCCAAGAGUUUGGUUCGGAUUGGCUCCGAGACCUGGGCGGGCGCCCAAGCGGGGAGGGCGGGCGCCCUGCCCCCGAGCCCGUUGUUGGGUAUUCUUAACAUCAUUACCAAAAGUAGACUAAGUUCUCUAAAUCCAGUAACGGUGCCAAAAAUGCCAAACCUAUCCCUCACACCACUUAAGCCAAGUUGUCAUCCCCAGCAUGACAUGAGAGACACGG
RNAcentral lists this long non-coding RNA (1764 nucleotides) under Sorghum bicolor (sorghum). Its description in RNAcentral is "long non-coding RNA (SBIC_LNC017636)". Lineage: Eukaryota; Viridiplantae; Streptophyta; Magnoliopsida; Poales; Poaceae. The record is from RNAcentral.